CCUCAAGAAAUAUUCUCUUAAUCCUUUGUAAGAAUACCAAGUACUUUUCUAAAGGAUGAGAGAUCCUACUAGAUCUACGAGGUGGAGGAGUUACUAUAUAUACUGGCUCAUCUUAAAUAUGUUAUACAGGUCCUGUGACUCAUUGUUCUUUAAAGAUUUUCUCUUUGAGUUCAUUCUCCCAUUGUUUCUAAAAAAAAUAGUAUGAUUGCUC
RNAcentral lists this long non-coding RNA (211 nucleotides) under Elaeis guineensis (African oil palm). RNAcentral describes it as "long non-coding RNA (EGUI_LNC053959)". Lineage: Eukaryota; Viridiplantae; Streptophyta; Magnoliopsida; Arecales; Arecaceae. The record is from RNAcentral.